UACAUGGGGUGCAAACGUUGCUCGGAAUUAUUGGGCGUAAAGCGCACGUAGGCGGUUUGUUAAGUCGGAUGUGAAAUCCCUCGGCUCAACUGAGGAAGUGCAUCCGAAACUGGCAGGCUUGAGUACUAAAGAGGGUCGCGGAAUUCCCGGUGUAGAGGUGAAAUUCGUAGAUAUUCGGAAGAACACCAGUGGCGAAGGCGACUCGCUGGACAAGUAUUGACGCUGAGGUGCGAAAGCGUGGGGAGCAAACAGG
This 253-nucleotide ribosomal RNA is filed under the name uncultured bacterium. Its description in RNAcentral is "partial 16S ribosomal RNA". It matches the Rfam family "Bacterial small subunit ribosomal RNA", at positions 524 to 776 of the family's 1533-position model. The record is from RNAcentral.